Molecule: transfer RNA, 72 nt
Filed under: Plica plica (tree runner)
Lineage: Eukaryota; Metazoa; Chordata; Lepidosauria; Squamata; Tropiduridae
Description: tRNA-Phe
Rfam family: tRNA
About the family: Transfer RNA (tRNA) molecules are approximately 80 nucleotides in length.
Source: RNAcentral
GUUAUUGUAGCUUAUCUUUUAAAGCACGACACUGAAAAUGCCGAGAUGGAACACCAAAUAAUCCCAAAAACA